RNAcentral lists this ribosomal RNA (565 nucleotides) under uncultured bacterium. Its description in RNAcentral is "partial 16S ribosomal RNA". It matches the Rfam family "Bacterial small subunit ribosomal RNA", at positions 356 to 914 of the family's 1533-position model. The record is from RNAcentral.
UGGGAAUUUUGGACAAUGGGCGAAAGCCUGAUCCAGCAAUGCCGCGUGUGUGAAGAAGGCCUUCGGGUUGUAAAGCACUUUUGUCCGGAAAGAAAUCCUUGGCUCUAAUACAGUCGGGGGAUGACGGUACCGGAAGAAUAAGCACCGGCUAACUACGUGCCAGCAGCCGCGGUAAUACGUAGGGUGCAAGCGUUAAUCGGAAUUACUGGGCGUAAAGCGUGCGCAGGCGGUUUGCUAAGACCGAUGUGAAAUCCCCGGGCUCAACCUGGGAACUGCAUUGGUGACUGGCAGGCUAGAGUAUGGCAGAGGGGGGUAGAAUUCCACGUGUAGCAGUGAAAUGCGUAGAGAUGUGGAGGAAUACCGAUGGCGAAGGCAGCCCCCUGGGCCAAUACUGACGCUCAUGCACGAAAGCGUGGGGAGCAAACAGGAUUAGAUACCCUGGUAGUCCACGCCCUAAACGAUGUCAACUAGUUGUUGGGGAUUCAUUUCCUUAGUAACGUAGCUAACGCGUGAAGUUGACCGCCUGGGGAGUACGGUCGCAAGAUUAAAACUUAAAUGAAUUGAC